RNAcentral lists this ribosomal RNA (465 nucleotides) under uncultured bacterium. Its description in RNAcentral is "partial 16S ribosomal RNA". It matches the Rfam family "Bacterial small subunit ribosomal RNA", at positions 28 to 507 of the family's 1533-position model. The record is from RNAcentral.
GACGAACGCUGGCGGCGUGCUUAACACAUGCAAGUCGAACGGAAAGGCCCUGCUUGCAGGGUACUCGAGUGGCGAACGGGUGAGUAACACGUGGGUGAUCUGCCCUGCACUUCGGGAUAAGCCUGGGAAACUGGGUCUAAUACCGGAUAGGAGCCAUUUUUAGUGUGUUGGUUGGAAAGUUUUUUCGGUGUAGGAUGAGCGCGCGGCCUAUCAGCUUGUUGGUGGGGUAAUGGCCUACCAAGGCGCCGACGGGUAGCCGGCCUGAGAGGGUGGACGGCCACAUUGGGACUGAGAUACGGCCCAGACGCCUAAGGGAGGCAGAAGGGGGGAAGAUUGAACAAUGGGCGCAAGCCUGAUGCAGAGACGCCGCGGGGGGGAUGACGGCCUUCGGGUUGUAAACGCCUUUCGCUAGGGACGAAGCUUUUUGUGACGGUACCUAGAUAAGAAGCACCGGCUAACUACGUG